GUGGUGUGCUCAGAGCAGGGGGCCUGAAGAAAUGGCUCGUCUGUUUAUAACACACCUGAUAGGAAUCUGGGUUCACUGACGAGGGGCACAAAACGUGUGGCCUUCCAAUGAACAGAAACCCAACACGU
This 128-nucleotide small nucleolar RNA is filed under the name Moschus moschiferus (Siberian musk deer). RNAcentral describes it as "Small nucleolar RNA SNORA11 (ENSMMSG00000008866.1)". It matches the Rfam family "Small nucleolar RNA SNORA11". Rfam says of the family: U107 (SNORA11) is a member of the H/ACA class of snoRNAs that guide the sites of modification of uridines to pseudouridines. This snoRNA was identified by RT-PCR from blood cells and its expression confirmed by Northern blot analysis. The record is from Rfam by way of RNAcentral. Lineage: Eukaryota; Metazoa; Chordata; Mammalia; Artiodactyla; Moschidae.